GAUGAACGCUGGCGGCGUGCCUAAUACAUGCAAGUCGAGCGAACAGACGAGGAGCUUGCUCCUCUGACGUUAGCGGCGGACGGGUGAGUAACACGUGGAUAACCUACCUAUAAGACUGGGAUAACUUCGGGAAACCGGAGCUAAUACCGGAUAAUAUAUUGAACCGCAUGGUUCAAUAGUGAAAGACGGUUUUGCUGUCACUUAUAGAUGGAUCGGCGCCGCAUUAGCUAGUUGGUAAGGUAACGGCUUACCAAGGCAACGAUGCGUAGCCGACCUGAGAGGGUGAUCGGCCACACUGGAACUGAGACACGGUCCAGACUCCUACGGGAGGCAGCAGUAGGGAAUCUUCCGCAAUGGGCGAAAGCUUGACGGAGCAACGCCGCGUGAGUGAUGAAGGUCUUCGGAUCGUAAAACUCUGUUAUUAGGGAAGAACAAAUGUGUAAGUAACUAUGCACGUCUUGACGGUACCUAAUCAGAAAGCCACGGCUAACUACGUG
This 497-nucleotide ribosomal RNA is filed under the name uncultured bacterium. Its description in RNAcentral is "partial 16S ribosomal RNA". It matches the Rfam family "Bacterial small subunit ribosomal RNA", at positions 28 to 507 of the family's 1533-position model. The record is from RNAcentral.